RNAcentral lists this long non-coding RNA (4727 nucleotides) under Coffea arabica (coffee). RNAcentral describes it as "long non-coding RNA (CARA_LNC006082)". The record is from RNAcentral. Lineage: Eukaryota; Viridiplantae; Streptophyta; Magnoliopsida; Gentianales; Rubiaceae.
AAAAAUGUAAAGUCCAGAUUUCAUCUUAUAUAUAAUUUUCACACUAUGUGUGGGACCCACAAAAUUUUGUUUCAUAGUUACACGUUGUGCAAAGUGAGUUACAUCUUAUGCAAAAUGCACAAAACUGGUCCGGAUGGUUUCUCUGUUGAUCGUUCCUGCCCCAUAUCCGUUUAGUCCAUUAUAUUGGUUAGUGUUUUAGGACACGGACCGAGUACAAUUGUGUUUUCUACAGUUCAGUCCAAUCAUUGUACAUAUUUAAAUUUUUAGUAUAGAAAUACAUCAUAAUAUUGUAUUGUAUUGCAGGGUGAUUAGGUUGAACUAUUGGACCAGUAACAUUCUCCAAACUUGGAUCCUCAAACCAGAUGCCGUUAACAAAGCCAUCCGAGACUACCUCAACUUCAUUAUGUUCUUCUUCUUGGGUUGCAGGUUCUUCAGGGUGAUUUUGUAGACCAAGGGGGACCUCUGAAGCUGUCAAGUAGAAAUGUAGCAGUAAAGCCGUUCAAUCCUCAUUCUGUUUCUUGAUUAAUGUUGUCCUGUUGUAGCAGUGCAAAUUGAUUAGGUUGGUCUACUGGGCCAAAGACAUCUUCCAAAGUUGGAUUUCCAAACAAUAAACAAAGCCGUCCCAUACUCCUUGGACUUCAUGGGAUUCUUCUUGUUCUGGUGCAGGUUCUUCUGGGUGAUCUUGUAAACCAACAGGGACCUCCAAAGUUGGGUUGGCAAGUAGAAACUCAUUAGUAAAGCCAUUUGAUACUGCUUGUGGUACUUGAUUAUCAUCUUGUUAGGGUGUUGCAGGUUGAUUAGGUUGAUUUACUCGACCACUAACAUCCGCCAAAGUAGGGUUCUCAAACAAAAUGUUGUCAGCAAAGCCAUCCCAAUCUGCUUCAAAUUCAAUUUUUCUUCUUGUUGGGGUGCAGUUUCAUUCGCAGAUUCAUUUGCAGGUUGAUAUUAUAACCAGAAAGAACCUCUGACGUUGGGCUAUCAAGCAGAGAGUCAUCAAUAAAGCUAUCUAUCCCUACUUUAUCAGGUUGUUCAUUAUCUUCUUGUUGGGGUGAUGUAGGGUUGAUGAGGCUGAUUUGGUGGAUCAAGGGCAUCUUUUAUACUUGGGUUCUAACCUAGAAUGUUGUUAACAACGCCCUUUCGAUGAUCUUCUUGAUUCUCCAUUUCUAUUUUGCUGUAUUACCAAUGAUCUUCAGGAGUUACAAGAACGUUACACUUGUUAAAAUGCUGUUCAAAUCUUUAGGUGUUAAUACACUUCUUGAUGGGAUGUGUUAGAGUUUUUAGGUGCUAAUGCAUUUCUUGAAAAUGCAAUGUCAAGAAUAAGAAAUCUGAAAUGAAAGAGACAUACAUACAUAUAUACAUAUAUAUAUGUAUAUAUAUGUAUAUAUAUGUAUGUAACUUGAUUAUGUACCACUUGUCACAAGUUGUUUGUUUUCCUACAAACCAAUAUCCCAUGCGACAUUAGCAUAUGUUCAAGACUUAAGUUAUGAACAGUUGGCUAGUUCAGCCUUAACACAAAAUGCACGAAGAUAAUACGGAAGCGCAAUAGUAGUAGGCAAAGAUAGAAGUAUGUAUGGCAAAGGAAAACUUAUUGUCGCGCCCCAUUUUUUCGCGAUGGGAAAAUAAGAUGAUGUUUAUAAAAAAUGUGAUUUUAUUUAAAAAUAAGUGAAAAAGGACCUAAAAUGGGACUUUAAAGAAUGUGACAGUUUGGGUCCAAAAUUUAGUCUAAAAAGGGUUUUUAAGAAAAAAUAAGAGUCGCCACUUAGUAUUGAGUUUUGGUGUACCAAGUCACCCCAAAAUAUUUGUAAAUAAAAUAAAAUAAAACCCUUUUCGACAACUCCAAAUCUUUGAAAACAGAGAAAAUGAGUUCGGGAGUCACGGUUGUAGAAAGGGAAGGCAAAUGUUCGAUUAUCUCAAACCUAAGACACCCUUUCAACCUAGUCUAAACUAGUUGCGUGGUUUAGUUAAAAUUUUCUUAAUCUAACCCUUAAAUUUAUCACAUUUGGAUGUUUCUUACAUGGAUGCAAAUAAAAAUAUCGAGAGGGACAAAAUGUCCAUUCAAGGGUUUAAUUGAUACCAAUCGCAUUAAUUGCGAAAGCCAAAAUAAUUUCUUGAAGGGGUCACAAAUAUGCGAAUGAUGAAAUUUAAUGAAAAAGAAAAGAAAAUUAAAUUAUAUACAUAGAUAUAAGUGAUCAAAGAAUAGGGAAUGCAACAUAAUGGGUACAGGAGGCGAAAACUCGUGAUAUAAUUUUCUUAUACAAAGAUUAAUGGGGUAUUUAAAUUAAAGAGUUAUAAUCGCCCAUAUCCAUGUUCAAAGAAUAAUUCUCCUAAUAUGAACAAGCAAAUGAACUAACUUAUUUCACAAUUUUUUAAAUAAAAUACAAUUCUAAAUGAUAUGAUUAACACAUGUAGAGGGUAGGGGAUAGAGGAUAAUAUAAUAGAAAAUAUCAUGCAAAUGAGAAAAGAUUCUAGAAUAAAAAUAUGCAUGAAAAUGUAAUGAAUAUCACACAAAUGAAUCUAAUACAUGAACAAUAUAAGGGUCUAGUGUUGGACUUAUCCAUUUCUAAAGAACCUUACUAGUUUUGGACUAGCAAGCAUACGGAGGAAGAAGCCACAACUAGCGUUGGACUAGUGUGGUGACGCCAUGCAUUAAUAAUACAUAGUAAAAUAAAUAAUACAUAAAUUAAAACAAAUAAACAUAUAAGAGCACGUAGCACAUAACACGUGAGCAUAAUAUCUAGAUGCAAAUAUCCUAAAAGAGCGAGUAAACACGUAAUCACAUAAGCAUGCAAGUACACAAACAAAUAAAAGCAAAUGGAGACUUAACUAUUACAUUUGAGGGUCCUAACUACAAUCUAAAAGGGCGAAAAAAAAUAAUAACCUAACUAUUACAAUUUGACAUUUAAAUGCCUCUCACAUAAUCAAAUAUUAAAUUAAAGUAAAUAUAUGAAAUUAAAAAAACAAAUAAAAUGAAUAACUAAAUAAAAUAAAAUAAAAUAAAAUAAAAACAUUCAAAACACAUGCAAUUACACACAUAAAAUCACAUAGGAGUAUAUAGAAGAAUUUAAAAUGACACAAGAAGAUACCUCCCUUGACGUAGUAGUUACUGGGGAAUGGGAUUUGCCUUAUUUAACUCCAAAAUUAACAGAAUCAUCAAGACACCAAUUUAAUUAACAAAUAAAUCAUAAAAAAUGAAAAUAAAUAUGAAAUCAAUCAAUUGAAUCAUUCAAAUGGAAUAUAAUUAAUAAUCUAAGAAGAAAAGCAACUUCUAUUUAAGAAAUCAAAUCUAUCAGGGACCUAAUUGCAAAGAUUAAUAAAGUUUUAGGGUUAAAUUAUAAUUACUACAAAAAUUCGUGGUCCAAAUUAAAGGAAAAUAAAGUCUAGGGACCUAUUUACAAUUAAUUAAGGACCUAAUUGAAAGAAACUUAAAGUAUUUAGGGUCACAAUACAAUAAAAUAAAAGUACAGGAACGAAAGAGCAAAUUCAUUUCUGGUCUUCCUAAUCCAACAGGCGCUUGGCCAAGAUACUACGUAAGACUAGCCAAAAGUCCAAGUCAAAACACACAGGCCAGCCCGUCUUUUAUCACUCAAAUCCAACCAAUAUAAAACAUGGGUCUGACCUUCUAGCCUAACUGAAAAUAAGAAACAAGCCCACAAAACAAAUAAAAUUAGCCUAACCUAUCCUUUUUCUUUCUUUUCUUUCCUUUUUUUCUUUUCUUUCUUCUUCCUUCACUUCCCAGCCGUUUCUUUCUCUUCUUCUUCGGCCAGCUGAAGAAGCUUCAGCUGGCGACCAUGGCAGCUGCUGGCGGCGUACCGACAAAUUUUUCGGUCGCCAAAAAUUGUCAAAAUACACCUUCUCACUCCAUUUUUCGCGUAGAUUCCAUUUACGGAAUUAUUUUGUACCAAAAAAAAAUUCGAAGGUGUCCAAAAUAGCAAAAGUCAGUCCAAUUUUUAUUUUUAUUUUUUAUUUAAAAAAACACUCAAAUCUUUACCAAAAAUCACAAAAUUUAUACCACAACACUCCGUGAGAUUUUUACAACAUAACUAUGAACUGAAGUCAAUAAAAGCAACAACAAAUAUGAUAAAAAUUAAAUCAAAACAGUCCUAAAAAUAAAAAAAUGACAAUAAUAAUAAUGAUAAUAAUAAUAAUAAAUAGCAAGAGAAAAACACAAAUUAAUAACUAAACAUGUUUAUAAUAUAAAAAAAAGUAGGAAAGGAAAUGAAAAUGAAGGAAGAUACCUCAAUGAGAAAAUUAAUCCCUUUGUCUAAGAAUUUGAUGAAGUUCUGAAUUCUAAUUGUCAACCGGUGGCUGCUCCCUUCUGAUGUUUGAAGUUGUGUGUGAGUGUGUUGUAUGAAUUGAGUAAAAAAAAUUAGAAUAUAGCUGAUAGAACAGGGGAGAUUUUUCUUCUCUGUUUUCUUCCUUCUGCCCAAAUUGAGAGAGGGAGAGCUUCGAGAAUGAAUUUGCCGAGGCCGAGAGGAGAGUUCUGAGCCCUCUUAUGCAAUUUUUCUUCUUCUGUCUUUUUUUGUCCGUUGAGAGCUUUUCUAAGUCAAAAAGUGGUGAUGCCAUCAUUUUCUUUUUUUUUUUACAAAAACUAAAAUUUUUAUUUAUUUAUUUAUUUUGCUAAACAAACCUGCAAAUAUAAGAAAAUUUUGCACAUUAGAAUGCAAGAAAAUAAAUAACUCAAUAGAUAGAAAAAAUUCAAGAAAAUAUUAAAACUGACAAAAUUUUGG